UCAGUACCAGUUUCGUUCAAAUAAUGGUGGGGAAGAUUCGACAACUGCAACAAAAAGUUACCAGUUUCGUUCAAAUAAUGGUGGGGAAGAUUCGACAACUGCAACAAAAAGUUACCAGUUUCGUUCAAAUAAUGGUGGGGAAGAUUCGACAACUGCAACAAAAAGU
Molecule: long non-coding RNA, 166 nt
Organism: Bactrocera neohumeralis
Lineage: Eukaryota; Metazoa; Arthropoda; Insecta; Diptera; Tephritidae
Exons: 3
Source: RefSeq, a predicted model, not a curated record